This 498-nucleotide ribosomal RNA is filed under the name uncultured bacterium. RNAcentral describes it as "partial 16S ribosomal RNA". It matches the Rfam family "Bacterial small subunit ribosomal RNA", at positions 27 to 507 of the family's 1533-position model. The record is from RNAcentral.
GGAUGAACGCUGGCGGCGUGCCUACUCCAUGCAAGUCGAGCGAACAGACGAGGAGCUUGCUCCUCUGACGUUAGCGGCGGACGGGUGAGUAACACGUGGAUAACCUACCUAUAAGACUGGGAUAACUUCGGGAAACCGGAGCUAAUACCGGAUAAUAUAUUGAACCGCAUGGUUCAAUAGUGAAAGACGGUUUUGCUGUCACUUAUAGAUGGAUCCGCGCCGCAUUAGCUAGUUGGUAAGGUAACGGCUUACCAAGGCGACGAUGCGUAGCCGACCUGAGAGGGUGAUCGGCCACACUGGAACUGAGACACGGUCCAGACUCCUACGGGAGGCAGCAGUAGGGAAUCUUCCGCAAUGGGCGAAAGCCUGACGGAGCAACGCCGCGUGAGUGAUGAAGGUCUUCGGAUCGUAAAACUCUGUUAUUAGGGAAGAACAAAUGUGUAAGUAACUAUGCACGUCUUGACGGUACCUAAUCAGAAAGCCACGGCUAACUACGUG